RNAcentral lists this ribosomal RNA (819 nucleotides) under Mycobacterium sp. RNAcentral describes it as "bacterial SSU rRNA". It matches the Rfam family "Bacterial small subunit ribosomal RNA", at positions 112 to 930 of the family's 1533-position model. Lineage: Bacteria; Bacillati; Actinomycetota; Actinomycetes; Mycobacteriales; Mycobacteriaceae. The record is from RNAcentral.
AACACGUGGGCAAUCUGCCCUGCACUUCGGGAUAAGCCUGGGAAACUGGGUCUAAUACCGGAUAGGACCUUUAGACGCAUGUCUUUUGGUGGAAAGCUUUUGCGGUGUGGGAUGGGCCCGCGGCCUAUCAGCUUGUUGGUGGGGUGAUGGCCUACCAAGGCGACGACGGGUAGCCGGCCUGAGAGGGUGUCCGGCCACACUGGGACUGAGAUACGGCCCAGACUCCUACGGGAGGCAGCAGUGGGGAAUAUUGCACAAUGGGCGCAAGCCUGAUGCAGCGACGCCGCGUGGGGGAUGACGGCCUUCGGGUUGUAAACCUCUUUCACCAUCGACGAAGGUCCGGGUUUUCUCGGAUUGACGGUAGGUGGAGAAGAAGCACCGGCCAACUACGUGCCAGCAGCCGCGGUAAUACGUAGGGUGCGAGCGUUGUCCGGAAUUACUGGGCGUAAAGAGCUCGUAGGUGGUUUGUCGCGUUGUUCGUGAAAUCUCACGGCUUAACUGUGAGCGUGCGGGCGAUACGGGCAGACUAGAGUACUGCAGGGGAGACUGGAAUUCCUGGUGUAGCGGUGGAAUGCGCAGAUAUCAGGAGGAACACCGGUGGCGAAGGCGGGUCUCUGGGCAGUAACUGACGCUGAGGAGCGAAAGCGUGGGGAGCGAACAGGAUUAGAUACCCUGGUAGUCCACGCCGUAAACGGUGGGUACUAGGUGUGGGUUUCCUUCCUUGGGAUCCGUGCCGUAGCUAACGCAUUAAGUACCCCGCCUGGGGAGUACGGCCGCAAGGCUAAAACUCAAAGGAAUUGACGGGGGGCCCNCNNAANG